CAGAGGUGGCUAGCGUUGUUCGGAUUUACUGGGCGUAAAGGAUGCGUAGGUGGCUUUGUAUGUCAGAUGUGAAAUAUCACUGCUCAACGGUGAAAGUGCAUUUGAAACUACUUGGCUUGAGUACAGGAGAGGAGCAUGGAAUUCUUGGUGUAGCGGUGAAAUGCGUAGAUAUCAAGAAGAACACCGGAGGCGAAGGCGAUGCUCUAGACUGAUACUGACACUGAGGCAUGAAAGCUGGGGGAGCAAACAGGAUUAGAUACCCUGGUAGUCCCAGCCUUAAACGGUGUACACUUGGUGUGGGAGGAAUUAACCCCUCCUGCGCCGUAGCUAACGCGAUAAGUGUACCGCCUGGGGAGUACGGCCGCAAGGUUA
RNAcentral lists this ribosomal RNA (372 nucleotides) under uncultured prokaryote. Its description in RNAcentral is "bacterial SSU rRNA". It matches the Rfam family "Bacterial small subunit ribosomal RNA", at positions 526 to 896 of the family's 1533-position model. The record is from RNAcentral.